RNAcentral lists this ribosomal RNA (640 nucleotides) under Escherichia coli. Its description in RNAcentral is "partial 23S ribosomal RNA". It matches the Rfam family "Bacterial large subunit ribosomal RNA", at positions 614 to 1253 of the family's 2925-position model. Lineage: Bacteria; Pseudomonadati; Pseudomonadota; Gammaproteobacteria; Enterobacterales; Enterobacteriaceae. The record is from RNAcentral.
AAUGGGUCAGCGACUUAUAUUCUGUAGCAAGGUUAACCGAAUAGGGGAGCCGAAGGGAAACCGAGUCUUAACUGGGCGUUAAGUUGCAGGGUAUAGACCCGAAACCCGGUGAUCUAGCCAUGGGCAGGUUGAAGGUUGGGUAACACUAACUGGAGGACCGAACCGACUAAUGUUGAAAAAUUAGCGGAUGACUUGUGGCUGGGGGUGAAAGGCCAAUCAAACCGGGAGAUAGCUGGUUCUCCCCGAAAGCUAUUUAGGUAGCGCCUCGUGAAUUCAUCUCCGGGGGUAGAGCACUGUUUCGGCAAGGGGGUCAUCCCGACUUACCAACCCGAUGCAAACUGCGAAUACCGGAGAAUGUUAUCACGGGAGACACACGGCGGGUGCUAACGUCCGUCGUGAAGAGGGAAACAACCCAGACCGCCAGCUAAGGUCCCAAAGUCAUGGUUAAGUGGGAAACGAUGUGGGAAGGCCCAGACAGCCAGGAUGUUGGCUUAGAAGCAGCCAUCAUUUAAAGAAAGCGUAAUAGCUCACUGGUCGAGUCGGCCUGCGCGGAAGAUGUAACGGGGCUAAACCAUGCACCGAAGCUGCGGCAGCGACGCUGAUGCGUUGUUGGGUAGGGGAGCGUUCUGUAAGCCUGCGA